UGGGGAAUAUUGCACAAUGGGCGCAAGCCUGAUGCAGCCAUGCCGCGUGUGUGAAGAAGGCCUUCGGGUUGUAAAGCACUUUCAGCGGGGAGGAAGGCGAUAAGGUUAAUAACCUUGUCGAUUGACGUUACCCGCAGAAGAAGCACCGGCUAACUCCGUGCCAGCAGCCGCGGUAAUACGGAGGGUGCAAGCGUUAAUCGGAAUUACUGGGCGUAAAGCGCACGCAGGCGGUCUGUCAAGUCGGAUGUGAAAUCCCCGGGCUCAACCUGGGAACUGCAUUCGAAACUGGCAGGCUAGAGUCUUGUAGAGGGGGGUAGAAUUCCAGGAGUAGCGGUGAAAUGCGUAGAGAUCUGGAGGAAUACCGGUGGCGAAGGCGGCCCCCUGGACAAAGACUGACGCUCAGGUGCGAAAGCGUGGGGAGCAAACAGG
This 429-nucleotide ribosomal RNA is filed under the name Chloroflexota bacterium. RNAcentral's name for it is "Chloroflexi bacterium partial 16S ribosomal RNA". It matches the Rfam family "Bacterial small subunit ribosomal RNA", at positions 355 to 776 of the family's 1533-position model. Lineage: Bacteria; Bacillati; Chloroflexota. The record is from RNAcentral.